RNAcentral lists this ribosomal RNA (482 nucleotides) under uncultured bacterium. RNAcentral's name for it is "partial 16S ribosomal RNA". It matches the Rfam family "Bacterial small subunit ribosomal RNA", at positions 30 to 507 of the family's 1533-position model. The record is from RNAcentral.
AUUGAACGCUGGCGGCAUGCCUUACACAUGCAAGUCGAACGGUAACAGGUCUUCGGCUGCUGUCGAGUGGCGAACGGGUGCGUAAUACAUCGGAACGUGCCCGAUCGUGGGGGAUAACGCAGCGAAAGCUGUGCUAAUACCGCAUACGAUCUACGGAUGAAAGCGGGGGAUCGCAAGACCUCGCGCGGACGGAGCGGCCGAUGGCAGAUUAGGUAGUUGGUGGGAUAAAAGCUUACCAAGCCGACGAUCUGUAGCUGGUCUGAGAGGACGACCAGCCACACUGGGACUGAGACACGGCCCAGACUCCUACGGGAGGCAGCAGUGGGGAAUUUUGGACAAUGGGCGCAAGCCUGAUCCAGCCAUGCCGCGUGCAGGAUGAAGGCCUUCGGGUUGUAAACUGCUUUUGUAAGGAACGAAAAAGCUCUCUCUAAUACAGGGGGUGAAUGACGGUACCGUAAGAAUAAGCACCGGCUAACUACGUG